RNAcentral lists this transfer RNA (73 nucleotides) under Pseudomonadota bacterium. RNAcentral describes it as "tRNA-Lys". It matches the Rfam family "tRNA". Rfam says of the family: Transfer RNA (tRNA) molecules are approximately 80 nucleotides in length. The record is from RNAcentral. RNAcentral also lists the same sequence under 1 other name. Lineage: Bacteria; Pseudomonadati; Pseudomonadota.
GGGCCGGUAGCUCAACUGGUAGAGCAGCGGACUCUUAAUCCGCGGGUUGAGGGUUCGAGUCCCCCCCGGCCCC